This 629-nucleotide ribosomal RNA is filed under the name uncultured fungus. RNAcentral's name for it is "eukaryotic LSU rRNA". The stretch from base 256 to 409 matches the Rfam family "5.8S ribosomal RNA". Lineage: Eukaryota; Fungi. The record is from RNAcentral.
UUUGGUCAUUUAGAGGAAGUAAAAGUCGUAACAAGGUUUCCGUAGGUGAACCUGCGGAAGGAUCAUUACCGAGUGAGGGUCCCUUGCGGGCCCAACCUCCCACCCGUGUUUAACUAUACCGUGUUGCUUCGGCGGGCCCACCGGGGCCUGUUCCUGGUCGCCUGGGGGCGUGAAACCCCCCGGGUCCGUGCCCGCCGGAGACCCCUUGAACCCUGAGUGAAUCGAGUGUCGUCUGAGUUUCAGUUAAAUCAUUAAAACUUUCAACAACGGAUCUCUUGGUUCCGGCAUCGAUGAAGAACGCAGCGAAAUGCGAUAAGUAAUGUGAAUUGCAGAAUUCCGUGAAUCAUCGAAUCUUUGAACGCACACUGCGCCCCCUGGCAUUCCGGGGGGCAUGCCUGUCCGAGCGUCAUUGCUACCCUCAAGCGCGGCUUGUGUGUUGGGCGCUGUCCUCCCGGGGACAGGCCUGAAAGGCAGUGGCGGCGUCGCGUCCGGUCCUCGAGCGUAUGGGGCUUUGUCACUCGCUCUGUGAGGUCCGGCCGGCGCCUGUCUACCCCCAAUCUUUUCUCAAGGUUGACCUCGGAUCAGGUAGGGAUACCCGCUGAACUUAAGCAUAUCAAUAAGCGGAGGAA